Mauremys mutica (yellowpond turtle) is the source of this 757-nucleotide long non-coding RNA. RefSeq lists it as uncharacterized. NCBI's taxonomy places the organism in Eukaryota, Metazoa, Chordata, Testudines, Geoemydidae. The record is from RefSeq and is a predicted model, not a curated record. The transcript has 3 exons.
GUCAGUUGCCAUGGACACAGAUAUGAUGUGUCUAGAUUUAUGACUUCCCUGCAGGAUCAACUAAGAGCAGAUGGGCUAUGAGGGAGAGAGAUUUUAUUGCAACAAAACUACCCUAACAAUUAGCAAAUCCGGCAAGUAACAAACAGAAAACUACAUGGACUGGCUGGCCCUCCCCGCUCUGUGUUCUCUAAGGUUUUGCUCACCUUGCGACACGCCGCCUUCCAGAGGUCAAUGCUUUGUGAAACAGGCCCUUUUCAAUUUUAAAUGAGACGUGACCCUCACUGGAAAUUAACCUCUGACGACAUCACAGGAACAUGCUCCUCCUGUAUAUCCUGACAUUCCAUUGGUUUGAAAAAUAUUCCAUCAAAGACUUCUACUAAGAUGCAGCCACAGUCUAACUGGACGGAUGACUCAGUUUGGGAGCCAGCAGAGGAAGCUUUCACUAACCGCAUCCCUCCUAAAGAAACACUUAAAAAAAGGACAAAAAGUCUUUGAUCACCCGUCCUACUAACACCUGGAAACUGCAAACUGGCUCAAAUUCAAGGAGCUGGCUAUGGCAAUGUGUGAAUGACUCGAAGGGCUCUAGGACUGGCCGAACAUCUCCACCUGGGACCACUUAGAAGCGGUGGAGGAAAGGCCUAAAUACUUAACUUUGGCUAACUCCCCCCCCCCACACACACACUGCUACUUGUCCCCCUUGCUGAGCGUUCCCCAACACGGGAGCGGAACAAUGCCAUCAAUAAAUAAAAGGUUGUUG